This is a non-coding RNA of Podarcis lilfordi (Lilford's wall lizard), 72 nucleotides long. Lineage: Eukaryota; Metazoa; Chordata; Lepidosauria; Squamata; Lacertidae. The record is from the annotation of a GenBank genome assembly.
GGGGGCUGUAGCUCAGUGGCAGAGCAGCUGCUUUCAUACAAGAGGUCCCAGGUUCAAUCCCAGGCAUCUCCA